GCUUUCAAGGGAUGAGGGCAUACCACAGUGUUUGGAUUGGAGGGAACAUCCUUGCAUCUCUUGAGUCGUUCCAGCAAGUUGCUAGAUGGGUGUAGAGUCAUAUACUAGAAACCGCCGCGUGGUGUGCGUGGGGGAGAACUUUGCCAGGUGGUCCUUCGGUGUGUGGCCUACUUCAACUGCAAAAUGCACCCACCGGUUGGUCCUAGCAUCUACCCUCGUGUGCACGUGGAUCUGCUACUCUUGUCGGCAUCCCCGGCGGUUGUCGUCAUGGUCACCCCGAUGAAGGUUUCUGGGUGCCAACCGUAGCCUCCCAGUGUGUGCGCAGUUGAAGGCUUUGGUUCGGUGCCCAUGGCAUCAUGCGCAUCCGCCUCCCGUCAUGCAAUAGCAGAGAUAAGCCUCCAUAUGAUUAUCACAGGGCAAGA
Molecule: long non-coding RNA, 422 nt
Organism: Triticum dicoccoides
Lineage: Eukaryota; Viridiplantae; Streptophyta; Magnoliopsida; Poales; Poaceae
Exons: 3
Source: RefSeq, a predicted model, not a curated record